RNAcentral lists this long non-coding RNA (1879 nucleotides) under Zea mays. RNAcentral's name for it is "long non-coding RNA (ZMAY_LNC004155)". The record is from RNAcentral. Lineage: Eukaryota; Viridiplantae; Streptophyta; Magnoliopsida; Poales; Poaceae.
GGAACUCCUCCACGCGUGGGUGUGGAAGCGACGGCGCCGACGCUAUUCACAACGGCAACGCGUCCCUUCCAACGCCGGCCGCCGCCAUCUUCAUCAGCCACCUUUUCUCAUGUGAGUCAUCCUUCCCUUUCUUCCCUUCUCUCCCAUGUCAGUGUGCCUCUCUCCCCUUUCUCCACCGCUCGUUCCGCUCCCUUGUUGGCUACAGUUGGAGAAUAGGACGAGCGUGACCUCGGCGUCAGGUUCCCCGACCAGCGGCCACGCCUCGAGUGCAUCGCCUUCUACGUCGACCCCACCAAGCACUACCCCUUCACCUGCACAUCCCCCUGCGAGCUUCUUGGGUACAUGGCGCACAACCAUGCUCACCAAGACAAAGGCCAAGACCAUGGGGUGGGAACUGAUCUGUGUCCAUGGACAUGGUGAUUUGAUAGCAUUUUGGGGGAGAAAUAAAAAAAAGUUUCACUGCUGCAUCCGUGACAAAUAAUAAUAUCCUUCAAUUCAGAGGUACAGAUCGUCAUAGCUAGUUAUUUAAAACGGAUUCAUGGGAGGGGUAACUAGUCUUAUACAAAUACGUAUAUAGUGUAUGAAAUCUUUGCUAUUGGACAAAGUUGAAUGAUCUGCACGCCCAUGAGUCAGAAAAGCACUAGGCAGCCCAGAUCGACCUCAUGUGGUGUUCAGCUUGGCGAGGGUGCGUUGCAAGGCCUUCACGCUCACUGAUAACGUUUUUCUGCCUAUACCUUCCUUGAGUUUAGUUUCAGUUUCAGCUAACUUUUAGUUUCAGUUUCAGCUAGCUUUCAGUUUCACUAGCAACGUCUUUCUGCCUGUACCUUCCAAACUUUCAGGUUCUUCUGGCUGCUCUUACCCCACCAGUGCAAGGUACGAGGCGAGCUUAAAUUAACCGUACACCAUGAUCCAUGUAGUGUGAACCAUGAUUCAUGUAGUGAUCCAUGAACUAUAAAUUCAUUUGUUCAGUGUGUUUAUUGUCAGUUCAGCUACAUAUAUUGCAAUGGCGCGCUUUGUAACACAGUGAAUUGAUGAACAAAUAUGAGCUAAUGUUACACUACAGAUUGACACAUUCACUUGCAUGCAGAACAAGGAAGUGGUGUUGCAAAGAAACUGUGUUUGAUUUUUGCUGUAACUUGACUGAAGAAACAUCUCUGUUUAUCAUCUCCCAAACAUAUAGCUAUAUGCUCAGUACUGCUCAUUUUUUUUUGCAAUGGCAAUGAGAUGUGUUAGUGCUUAAAAGUGUUAGCUUUGAUCUAUUGUGAUGUAAACUUCAUUAUGUUUCCUGCAUUUGCUUUGAUCUACUGUGAUGUAAACACGAUUUAUGUUGGUUCUGCUAUCUUUUGGAUGUAAUCAAACUAUUAUUUUGCUUUGUUGUUGUUCUGAUUCAAACUAUUCAUGCUUGUUCUGCUUUUGUUCUACUUGCUAUAGAAAGUACCUGGACUAUUAAGACAGACUUAGACCAUAAUGUUCAAAAAUACUAAACUUUGACACAAGGCUGCUUGUGUGUUUAACGAGUUGUGUUUAUAUACAAUAAUACAAGUGGUGUAACCAAACAGUGUACAAUGAGCAAUGUAUUGAAUCUCACAUGUAACUGAAACACACAUGGUUUAACUGACAUGGAAUGGAUUCACUCAAUCCAGCCAUGUAUUCAAACCUCAUGUGUAUUAAAAACUAACGUGCCGAACAAGGCCUUAGUUGGAACAAUUCCGAGUGCAAUCCGACGUAAAUGAACAAGGCCUUAGACUGAACCGUGACCGCUCUUAGUGAACUAUUAAAGUUGCUCUUAGUGCCAAACCUAAUUCUAGUCGAACCUAAAUGCAAAAAAAAUUGUUCAAUCCUCUACUAGCGACCAAACUGUUGUUAGGUAUCACUGCGC